UUAAGCUAAUUAUUCUUGUUGGUCUGCUCUCUUCAUUUUAUUCCCUUAUUUUUCUUCUAAUUUCGACUCUUAUAAUUUGGCGGAACAAAUUUAGGGCUCUCUGAAUUUCAGCUGCAAAGGUAUCUAUUUGUCAACAUAGAUAAAACAGAUUUAGAUAGAUACAAAGUAUUCAAUAAUUCAUUUGCUGAACUUAUGAUCUUCAUUUUAUUUCAAUUGAUUCCUGCUCAGAUUUGGAGUCGGUUUGUGGGUUGAUUUAGAGUUGAUCUGUGGGUCAACAUCUAAAUUAGAAAACGGGGAGUGAAAAGAAAAAAGAUAGUUUUAGGAAUAGGAGAUGUGGGGUAUAACUAGAUUUUAUGAGAAAGUUUAUACGAUGGUAGAAGGAGGAUCUCAUUAUUGUUCUAAGAAGACGGAUGAUAUUUGUGGAGAUGCUUGCGAUGAGGUAAAGAUUCCAUUUUUAUAUACACAUUAUGUGACGCCCCAAAAUUAGGUAUACAUUACCCAUUUUGAGUCAUCAGAUAUAUG
RNAcentral lists this long non-coding RNA (522 nucleotides) under Panax ginseng (ginseng). RNAcentral describes it as "long non-coding RNA (PGIN_LNC002922)". Lineage: Eukaryota; Viridiplantae; Streptophyta; Magnoliopsida; Apiales; Araliaceae. The record is from RNAcentral.